This 73-nucleotide transfer RNA is filed under the name Felis catus (domestic cat). It matches the Rfam family "tRNA". From Rfam's summary of the family: Transfer RNA (tRNA) molecules are approximately 80 nucleotides in length. Their secondary structure includes four short double-helical elements and three loops (D, anti-codon, and T loops). Further hydrogen bonds mediate the characteristic L-shaped molecular structure. tRNAs have two regions of fundamental functional importance: the anti-codon, which is responsible for specific mRNA codon recognition, and the 3' end, to which the tRNAs corresponding amino acid is attached (by aminoacyl-tRNA synthetases). tRNAs cope with the degeneracy of the genetic code in two manners: having more than one tRNA (with a specific anti-codon) for a particular amino acid; and 'wobble' base-pairing, i.e. permitting non-standard base-pairing at the 3rd anti-codon position. Lineage: Eukaryota; Metazoa; Chordata; Mammalia; Carnivora; Felidae. The record is from Rfam by way of RNAcentral.
ACCUGGCUAGCUCAAUCAGUGGAGCAUGUGACUCUUGAUCUUGGAGUUAUGAGUUUGAGUCUCACGUUGGGUG